CCGUAACUAUAACGGUCCUAAGGUAGCGAAAUUCCUUGUCGGGUAAGUUCCGACCCGCACGAAAGGCGUAAUGAUUUGAGCGCUGUCUCGACAAUGCACCCGGUGAAAUUGAAAUACCAGUGAAGAUGCUGGUUACCUGCGCCAGGACGGAAAGACCCCAUGGAGCUUUACUCCAGCUUGAUACUGGGAUUCGGUAUUGCAUGUACAGGAUAGGUGGGAGGCUGUGAAGCGAUGACGCCAGUUGUCGCAGAGCCGCUGUUGGGAUACCACCCCUGCAGUACUGGGUUUCUAACCUGCGGCCGUAAUCCGGCCGGGGGACAAUGUCUGACGGGGAGUUUGACUGGGGCGGUCGCCUCCGAAAGGGUAUCGGAGGCGCUCAAAGGUUCCCUCAGAAUGGUUGGAAACCAUUCGAAGAGUGCAAAGGCAGAAGGGAGCUUGACUGCGACACCGACGGGUGGAGCAGGUACGAAAGUAGGACUUAGUGAUCCGGUGGUAUUAAGUGGGAAUGCCAUCGCUCAACGGAUAAAAGCUACCCUGGGGAUAACAGGCUUAUCACUCCCAAGAGUUCACAUCGACGGAGUGGUUUGGCACCUCGAUGUCGGCUCAUCGCAUCCUGGGGCUGUAGUAGGUCCCAAGGGUUGGGCUGUUCGCCCAUUAAAGCGGUACGCGAGCUGGGUUCAGAACGUCGUGAGACAGUUCGGUCCCUAUCCGGCGUGGGCGUAGGAUAUUUGAGAGGAGCUGUCCUUAGUACGAGAGGACCGGGAUGGACUGACCUCUGGUGUACCGGUUGCACCGCCAGGUUCACGGCCGGGUAGCCAAGUCGGGAAGGGAUAAACGCUGAAGGCAUCUAAGCGUGAAGCCCCCCUCAAGAUGAGAUAUCCCAUUCGAAAGAAGUAAGACCCCUUGAAGACGACGAGGUAGAUAGGGCAGAGGUGGAAGUGCAGUAAUGCAUGGAGCUGACUGUUACUAAUAGGUCGAGGGCUUAACCAA
RNAcentral lists this ribosomal RNA (990 nucleotides) under human gut metagenome. RNAcentral's name for it is "bacterial LSU rRNA". It matches the Rfam family "Bacterial large subunit ribosomal RNA", at positions 1934 to 2925 of the family's 2925-position model. The record is from RNAcentral.